GACAGAGGAUGCAAGCGUUAUCCGGAAUGAUUGGGCGUAAAGCGUCUGUAGGUGGCUUUUCAAGUCCGCCGUCAAAUCCUAGGGCUCAACCUUGGACAGGCGGUGGAAACUACCAAGCUGGAGUACGGUAGGGGCAGAGGGAAUUUCCGGUGGAGCGGUGAAAUGCAUUGAGAUCGGAAAGAAUACCAACGGCGAAACCACUCUACUGGGCCGACACUGACACUGAGAGACGAAAGCUAGGGGAGCAAAUGGG
Molecule: ribosomal RNA, 253 nt
Filed under: uncultured bacterium
Lineage: Bacteria
Description: partial 16S ribosomal RNA
Rfam family: Bacterial small subunit ribosomal RNA
Source: RNAcentral